This 272-nucleotide long non-coding RNA is filed under the name Fukomys damarensis (Damara mole-rat). RNAcentral describes it as "lncRNA (ENSFDAG00000028305.1)". The record is from RNAcentral. Lineage: Eukaryota; Metazoa; Chordata; Mammalia; Rodentia; Bathyergidae.
CAAGUACUGGCACAAGCAGGAGGCCUGAGAGCACUGGAGGAGGGGGAUGCUGCAGAGGCGCCCACAUGGCUAGGUAUUCCUCAUUGGUCUGCUCAACAUUGACUUCUUAAAUUGGGUUUCCAAGGCCUUCCUCUUGACCUAUACAGAAAGAAGACAAAAACCCAUUGAAAGAGCCACUGGAAGGAGAAAUCACAAAUUGAAGGAAAACCAGAAUUCAAAAUUGUAAGUUCAUGUUGGGAAAGGGAAACACCAUAGCUUACAUCCAAGAGAAG